Long non-coding RNA from Dromaius novaehollandiae (emu), 2569 nucleotides. RefSeq lists it as uncharacterized. NCBI's taxonomy places the organism in Eukaryota, Metazoa, Chordata, Aves, Casuariiformes, Dromaiidae. The record is from RefSeq and is a predicted model, not a curated record. The transcript has 2 exons.
CGCCGCCGCCGCGCCGCCGCCGCCCGCCCCUUCCCUCCCGCCGCGUUGCCAUGGCGGCGGCCCGCAGCCCCCGGGGCAGUUGCGCGCGGCCCUGCCGGCCUGUCCCCCGCAGCCCCUCGCCGCCGCCGCGCCUCGGAUAGGAGCCCGAUAACGCCCCUCUUCUCCUCCCGUCCGGACGGCCCUUCCCCUCCGCGCGGUACCGAGCGGCCCCGCGGGCGCCGCCUCGUCCCGGAAUGGCGGCGGGGAGCUCGGGGCUGCGCUCGGCGGUCUCUGCCCUCCCGGAGGGGCGGGUCGGUCUCCUCUGCCCCCCGAGCGCCCGGGCGCGCUGCGCGAGGAGCCAGGUGGGACCGAACUACCUCCGCCUUGAGGAGAGCAGGCCCGGCCCGACCGGGGAGCUGCUGCUGCUGCUCUGCGCGGCCGUCCGCACGCUUUUGUCCUCCUCCCCCAUUUAUUGCUAGCCAGGCCGCAUUUUGCGUAGCUACGUUAAAACCACACAACUGCUAGCUUUACAGAGCUGCCCCUCGCUGGUACUGCGUUACUUCAUAGUCAGCCGUUCUCAGACAGUUCUUCCUCCCCCACGUUUACGUUAGCCCACAGGAGCCUGGAAAUAGGAUGCGCUUCCCCAGCCGUUUCGUCCCGUUCUGCCCGGCAAGCAGUUUGCGUCCUUCCAGGGGCUCCGAAGAGAGAAAAGAGUAAAUGGGAUCUCCCGGUUUGCCUCUGAUGGCCUGAUAUUGAGAAUGAUGAGAAGACAUGGCAUUAUCUAGUAGGAUGAGGAAGCUAUCCAAACAGACAUGGAGUAAUCCAGCACAAUGCAGCUGUAAUGGAAGGACUUCCUGUCAUUUUGGAGCAGUAGCAGCCUUACCUGGGUAUGAACUGCACUCUGAUACGUGUGUGUUUAAUGUUCAUUUCAAGUAUUUUUUAGUGCAUGAUGUUUUGAUGCUGAUAAAAGUGAAGGAUUUACAUUGUUGGUUAAAGCCAGGUACAAAAAGCACUUGCUUUAAAAGCCUACUCUUGGUCCAGAAUGUUAGUUAAUCUGUAUAGCUCAAAUCACUCAGCUUGUUCAACCCAGCACAGAGGGCUCAGACAUGGAAACUAGCCCCUCUUUACUGCUCUGCGGUUAGACUUGCUGUAUAAUUCUGGGCAGAUCACGUAACCUGCCAACCUGCCUGUGCCUCAGUUUUAGUAAGGUUGGUAUGAUACCAUGCCAUACCAUAGAAAUGCCCGUUAAUAAAGAACUUGACUGAUCAGUGAAUGAGAAAUGCUACAGCUUGGAUUCUAAUCAUCUGUUGCUUUGUCAGACAGAAGGCUUCAGUGAUGCCUCCUCGUGUAGAAUGAUGGCAAAAUGCAGUCUGUUCUGAGGCAAACUAGGUUUUUAACUUGGGAAGCCUGAAGAAAAGGAAAAAAACCCCAAAAUGCAUUAGCUAACUUUUCUGCGAUUAAAUAUUCAGUCAGUCCCUAUAAAUAUGCUUUAAUUAUAAAUAUGACUUUAAUUUGAUUAUGAUAACACAGAUCCCCCAUAACUUUAUUACAUGAUAUCUUUUCUAAGGGGAUAUUGACUAUUAAUUAAAGAAAAAUCUGUGUUUUAAAGGAUUAGUUUAAGAAGUGCUGUCAGAAAUUACAGUGUAAUUAAAGCCACUCAAGAAUCAGUGAUAUUGAAGUCUGCUGAUCACUGCAAAAUAAAUUGUUAGUUUGCUGCGUCUAGCAUAGCAUGUAAGAUUGCACAUCAAAGGGAUGCAAGUGCUGUAACGGAAAUAGGCCUGUUAAGGGGGAACUUGUGUACUGCACAGUAUAGUCAUCAAGUCCAUCAUUGUACUUGCUACCAACUAUUGCUGUUCAGUUGUUGGAUAGCCUUAAAAGAUUUUAAGUGUUUUGUCAAAGGUUACAUACAAUGCCGGAGAGGAAAUACAAUGUGGUUUGAACUUAACUGUAUUUUAAAGCUUAUUUUACUGGUUUAAUUGAACUAAGAUACUGCUUCAUGUUCAAAAGUUAAAAAAAAAAAAAAAGUAGUAGUCUGUAUUAAGGAAGGUUGCAGAGCCUGGCAAAAAUGUUGUUAAUAGCAAGGAGAGAAGUUGUAGUGUGGUCAGUGUUUGUCAGUGCCGUUUGCUAAAGCAGGGUAAUGGAGAAUGUCCUCUCCAUGCCAGUGCAUCCGUUCUUGUAUCAGUGGAGAACGAGAUCUGUUCUCCACGUUGGGGGCAUCAAAGAACAGCACAAAACCAGGGAGAUUCUGUGAUGUGUCAGUAUUUGUGAAGUGCUUGAACCAUGCUGAAAGUACAAUAUAUUUAUUCAUGAAUCAUAGUAGCAGGUUUAGUUAAAUUACACCCAGGAUACAGGGAUUGGUAUAUCUUUUGUAGGUCAGUCAUAUAAUGCAAAGAUAUAUUGGAGGGGAAGGCUUAAAAAUCAGUGAAUUUAUGGGUAAAAACGUAGGAUACCGUGUACAUUUGAAUUGCCUUCUUUGUAUAUAUCCUGCCUAUUCCAUUCUGUGUAUAUUCUAGUUAGUGCAGCCUGCUUAAAAGGUUGUAAAGAAAUAUGCAAGCAUAUAAGAAAAUAAUAAAUAAAAAUGUUUUCUGUA